RNAcentral lists this ribosomal RNA (216 nucleotides) under Glomeromycotina sp. RNAcentral describes it as "partial small subunit ribosomal RNA". The stretch from base 40 to 216 matches the Rfam family "Eukaryotic small subunit ribosomal RNA", at positions 686 to 864 of the family's 1831-position model. Lineage: Eukaryota; Fungi; Glomeromycota. The record is from RNAcentral.
GGGUCAGUAGGUUGGUCGUGCCACCGGUACGUACUGGUCUCACUGAUUCCUCCUUCCUGAAGAACCGUAAUGCCAUUAAUUUGGUGUUGCGGGGAAACAGGACUGUUACUUUGAAAAAAUUAGAGUGUUUAAAACAAGCUAACGCUUGAAUACAUUGGCAUGGAAUAAUGAAAUAGGACGAUCGAUCCUAUUUUGUUGGUUUCUAGGAUUGACGUA